This 700-nucleotide ribosomal RNA is filed under the name Micrococcus sp. KLBMP S0001. RNAcentral's name for it is "bacterial SSU rRNA". It matches the Rfam family "Bacterial small subunit ribosomal RNA", at positions 85 to 799 of the family's 1533-position model. The record is from RNAcentral. Lineage: Bacteria; Bacillati; Actinomycetota; Actinomycetes; Micrococcales; Micrococcaceae.
GGGUGGAUUAGUGGCGAACGGGUGAGUAACACGUGAGUAACCUGCCCUUAACUCUGGGAUAAGCCUGGGAAACUAGGUCUAAUACCGGAUAGGAGCGCCUACCGCAUGGUGGGUGUUGGAAAGAUUUAUCGGUUUUGGAUGGACUCGCGGCCUAUCAGCUUGUUGGUGAGGUAAUGGCUCACCAAGGCGACGACGGGUAGCCGGCCUGAGAGGGUGACCGGCCACACUGGGACUGAGACACGGCCCAGACUCCUACGGGAGGCAGCAGUGGGGAAUAUUGCACAAUGGGCGCAAGCCUGAUGCAGCGACGCCGCGUGAGGGAUGACGGCCUUCGGGUUGUAAACCUCUUUCAGUAGGGAAGAAGCGAAAGUGACGGUACCUGCAGAAGAAGCACCGGCUAACUACGUGCCAGCAGCCGCGGUAAUACGUAGGGUGCGAGCGUUAUCCGGAAUUAUUGGGCGUAAAGAGCUCGUAGGCGGUUUGUCGCGUCUGUCGUGAAAGUCCGGGGCUUAACCCCGGAUCUGCGGUGGGUACGGGCAGACUAGAGUGCAGUAGGGGAGACUGGAAUUCCUGGUGUAGCGGUGGAAUGCGCAGAUAUCAGGAGGAACACCGAUGGCGAAGGCAGGUCUCUGGGCUGUAACUGACGCUGAGGAGCGAAAGCAUGGGGAGCGAACAGGAUUAGAUACCCUGGUAGUCCAUG